UGUGCCCAUGGGGCCAUCUCGGCUUGUCCGUGGCCCUCGGCCCCAGGGCAUGCGUUCCCCCUACCGCAGGCCAGGUAUGGGCUGGCCCAGGCCCCGAUUUCCCAGGAUGUUCAAGUGUAGCCGCAGAAGAUAUCAACAGGGUCUCCGAGGUCGAACUGCCAGCAGUGCAGCCAUCAAUCCUGCCACCAGGGCCAUGGGUAUCAACAACACCCACACUGACACCACCAUAGUGUGGAUCUUCCCACCUCAAGUUCUCAGACAUCUCAGGCAACCUGGGAUUUUUCUGAUCCUCUAGAAGUGCCCAGAAGCUAGCCCAGAAGCUUGGUUUGCCCUGGACCUGCAUCUCCUAGGGGCCGUGUGGGUGGUGAACAACAAAUACAGUCAUUCUGCUCAAA
This 395-nucleotide long non-coding RNA is filed under the name Homo sapiens (human). Its description in RNAcentral is "non-protein coding lnc-POMGNT1-1:12". Lineage: Eukaryota; Metazoa; Chordata; Mammalia; Primates; Hominidae. The record is from RNAcentral.